Molecule: long non-coding RNA, 263 nt
Organism: Cimex lectularius (bed bug)
Lineage: Eukaryota; Metazoa; Arthropoda; Insecta; Hemiptera; Cimicidae
Exons: 3
Source: RefSeq, a predicted model, not a curated record
UAUCGUGUGGCACCGAGUGAACCGCUUUCCACGACUUAUAAACAAUUACAUUUUAAUUAUAUAAACAACAGGAUCUAAGAGUAUUUCAGACGGCAGCUUGGGGCUUGCCAUGGCGCAGGGGAUGGAGACCAGCUUCAAGAGGUGGAAAUGGUUAAAUGGUCAACCGGGUCCUACAGACCCCUACAACAACUAAUACGGACCCAUCUGUGGUGACAUAACUGCGUUAAUUCACCUGUUACCAUCCAAAUAAAUACAAAUGCAAG